GGUAGAGUCCCGUGGGGGGUCAGCUCUGCCUCCCGGCGCCGGCUUCGCCUCGGGUCCUUUGUACUCCUCGCCCAGGGGUCCCCAGCUUGCUGAGCUCCUGGCUCCCGAAGCCGUUCCCCUGCUGCGGGCGCGUCCUCGGGCCUAGGGAGGGGCGGGUCGCCCUCCUGUCCUGCCCGUGUUAACCAGGGAAGACCCCUGGCCUGGGUAGUAAGCCAGGGGGCGUCAGGAAACGCCCCCUAGAAAGUGGCUCUGAAGUUGACACCCGUCCUACUGCAUGGCAGGACUCAUUCCCGUGAACAUCACUUUGCAGCUGCGUUUAUGUUGCAAUAACUGGAACUACUCUUUUAAGUUUCUUUUGUUUUCUUUAUAUGAAUUCCCGGCAAGUUCGUUUUACUAAAAGCACCAAAGGUUUUCACCAGACAUAACAGCUUCCUGAGGUGCUAGGCCUAAAAGAUUUUUAAAGAUCUUUAAUAUUUGUAUGUUUUCAUGGAGACGCCCUGAGGGUGUUUACUGUCACUAGGUAUUCCAACUUUAUUAUAUGGACUUGGCUCCUGGUUAUUUGCCAGAGUCACAGAGACUGUGCAUACCAGUUAUGGACCCAUAACAGUUUAUUUUCUCAAUAAAGAAGAUGAAGGUGCCAUGUAUUGAAAAGUGUGCAUCGAAGAACAUAAAUAUCAGUGGAUUUUCUCUGUGUAUAUGUGCAGUAUUUAUUUUUGAUCCUUUAAAAUAAAACUUUUGCAAAUAC
RNAcentral lists this small RNA (745 nucleotides) under Pongo abelii (Sumatran orangutan). RNAcentral's name for it is "processed transcript". The record is from RNAcentral. Lineage: Eukaryota; Metazoa; Chordata; Mammalia; Primates; Hominidae.